Molecule: small RNA, 56 nt
Filed under: unclassified sequences
Description: Streptococcus sRNA SpF59 (ldcC RNA)
Rfam family: Streptococcus sRNA SpF59 (ldcC RNA)
Source: Rfam by way of RNAcentral
UGACCGUUCCGCAAGAUCGGAAACUAAGGCCAUACGGACAGCCGGGCAACUGCCGA